UCCGAAACAAAACUUCACGAGAACUUGGU
Molecule: non-coding RNA, 29 nt
Filed under: Bombyx mori (domestic silkworm)
Lineage: Eukaryota; Metazoa; Arthropoda; Insecta; Lepidoptera; Bombycidae
Source: RNAcentral